RNAcentral lists this small nucleolar RNA (171 nucleotides) under Moschus moschiferus (Siberian musk deer). RNAcentral describes it as "Small nucleolar RNA SNORA23 (ENSMMSG00000008458.1)". It matches the Rfam family "Small nucleolar RNA SNORA23". From Rfam's summary of the family: The members of this family belong to the H/ACA class of snoRNAs which are thought to guide the sites of modification of uridines to pseudouridines. Lineage: Eukaryota; Metazoa; Chordata; Mammalia; Artiodactyla; Moschidae. The record is from Rfam by way of RNAcentral.
CUCAUAAUGUGUGCAUAGUUUUCAUCUGUGUCUGAUAGCAGCAUCUGUCUGUGUUUUGCAUUCAGAUCUUGUUAUCCACACAAACAUCAUGCAGCCAAAGAGUAAGUUGGGAUCAUAGUACUGGUCUUGUGUUGUCUCUACUACUGCCAGCCUCCAAAUUCCCACACAAGA